RNAcentral lists this long non-coding RNA (775 nucleotides) under Anolis carolinensis (green anole). Its description in RNAcentral is "lncRNA (ENSACAG00000044319.1)". Lineage: Eukaryota; Metazoa; Chordata; Lepidosauria; Squamata; Anolidae. The record is from RNAcentral.
UUUGUGUUGGUGUGGUUGUGUUGUUACAACCUGGAGGGAAGGCUUUUGCAUUGUGUUGCCAAGUUUCGUAUUUCUGGGGCGUUUAGUGUUUCUAUGCAAGAAGAUUAAUGGACCCAAAUCUCACAUUAGAAACAGGAAUCCUCAUAAUCCAGAUGGUAACUUUCCUGGGCACACUGUAAGGGAUUUGCAGGUUGUGAUCCCUGGACCAGGAAAUUACAAAGAAAGACUAAAAAGAGAAACUGCUAAUUUAUUAGCAGAAAUAUGAAUAAAGACAAUGGCUGACGUACAUAUAAUAUUACAAGUUCUCACUACUGCACAUAUAACAAAAGAGAGAGUUUUGUUUUUUAUUAAUUUUUUAACGCAUGCAAACAACAUGAGAGAGAUUUUUGAUCUUUGAGAAACUGACUUUUGGUAAGCAGAUUUAUUGCUUUUACACAUCAAUAAAAAUAACCACUAUAAAGAUCUGAAAGCCUUUUGAAAAUUUAGGACAAGUGACAUGAUUUACAUUUGUUCUGGUCGCUAUUAUGUUCUAUCCAAUGAUUUAUGCCUGAAGCCUUAAUAACACUUGGUACAGGUUCUGUAGAAAUGGGUUUAUAUCUAUGAAAGCUCAGGUGAAAAUGUAGCAGUUUUAGGCUCCUUCCACACAGCUGUAUAAAAUCCACAUUGAACUAGAUUAUAUGGCAGUGUGGACUCAGAUAACCCAGUUUAAAGCAGAUAUUUUGGAUUAUCUGCCUUGUUAUUCUGGGCCACAUUUCUCUCUCCCCCCCCCCCCCUU